This 249-nucleotide long non-coding RNA is filed under the name Elaeis guineensis (African oil palm). Its description in RNAcentral is "long non-coding RNA (EGUI_LNC071143)". The record is from RNAcentral. Lineage: Eukaryota; Viridiplantae; Streptophyta; Magnoliopsida; Arecales; Arecaceae.
CCUCGGCAUAUACUAUAGUGAACUUGGCUGACCAUACCUUUGUAGAUGAUAAAUUGAUCUACAAUCUUGGCAAAAUAUUAGGGUCCUCAAAGAAUCUAACCUUCAAUUUUUUUACCUAUUGCCGAGACUGUCCUGGAGAGUCCUUGGGACUCACAAACUGAGGUGAGAAAAAAAUUUAUUUUGCAAGUAAAUACAGUACCAUUUCCGACCAAACGAAGAGUCAUUAAUGCUUGAAUAGAUAUUAGACCA